AUGCUGUAUGAUCACACUGUUAGGGCAAGAGGGGUAACGAACAGCACGGUUUGCAAUAUUGAAUUGAUUGCUUCAGGGAACAGAUCUGUGUUAGAGAUAACUGGCAGCGCACAAAGCCAUUUCCUACCUGCGCCUAUGGAGCGGCUGCUCAGGCUUUGCUGGCAGGAAAAAGCAAAAGGAGCUUCUGUGAAGCUGAAGUGGCUGAGCCCAUCCGGGCUGAAGGGCUCUUAUCUCACAUUUCUGAGUUGGUAUUCAGAGAGUGUCAGCCAACCUGGAGCAUUAUCCUGGUCUUCAGCAACGUGGUGUUUGGAUUGGCCUUCCAGCAGUGCUGCCAAUUGGGGCACUGCUAUCCUCCUCAGCUGCUACAUGGCAAUGAAGACAUGGGGAUCUGGAUCUUCAGAGAUGGUUGGAUAAGCCUGAAAUACUGAGAGACAGUGUCUUGAUUUGAUUUCUGAUGUAAGUACAGUGGAGAUUAAAACAACUGCAGUAGCAUAAAUCUCUAGCUUCUAUCUAUUACUCUGAGUCCAUUCACUCUGAGCAGACUCACUUUGCUGGCCUUUGGCCAAGUCUGUCAUGGGGAAGAAUCAUGUUGUAAAGAAAUAGCAUCCUGACUCUGUAGGAUGCUGUUUGAUCUUGCCUAUAUCGACGGGGCUAAGCCAUACUGUGACAGCAUUAUGGCAAUGUGCUGCAGCCUUUUGAAGAUCAGGGUGUUUUCUUCAUCUGUAUAAGUUGUAAUCCUUGUUGGAAAGAGAAAUGUCCUGGGUGGAGGCACAGAAACAGAGAAAUCAUGGUAAAACAGAACUAGACUAGGGGAGAACUUACAUACAGAGAUAUUCCUAAGGAGGCUUUUCUUGCUUGAGCCCAGUUCCAGGCCUUAACACAGCAUCUGUGUAUCAGUGCUGUUCUCACACCCAGUCCACAAUGAUGGUGUGCCACCUCACCUCCUCCUGAGGUUUAAUUGUUAUAUCUUGGAUGCAGCAGUGGAAAAACAAAACCUCAAACUCAGAGCUGUCUUUAUCUUGUAUCCUGCCUCUGAGUUUGCUCAGCUGCUCUAGAUCCUCUCUUACGGGUGAAGAAAGUAAAGGGCUAUGAAUGUUGGUGAACCGGUAGCAUUUAUUUAAUCAAUACGUAGAUUUGUGCCUCUUCAUUUCAGACAAACACUGUAAGCUUAAUGUAAGCUUAAAAAUUCAGGAGGCAGCGUCACAUGUUACCUAUAGGAAGUAGCAAAAAAACCCUCAAAAGUACAAACAAAAAAAAAAAACCACGCACAGAAGCUUCCAUUUUCACGUUCAGAAGAAGUAUGCAGGUGCACCAAAGAGUCAAGGAGGACCGGAGUGAUGAUAACUCAUACAUGGGUAUAAGAGAUGUCAGAGGAGCUUUUCAGACUCUCCUCUGCCCUUGGACUUUAGCUCUUUGCCCAUCACCAACCUAUCAGUGAAAAAGGGUAGCUGCAAAGUAGCUUUGAAGCAAGGGAACCAGGAGUCUAGUGGCCACCAAGUUGAACAUGAGCCAGCAGUGUGCCCUUCCCACAAAGAAUGCCAACAGUAUCCUGGGCUACUUUAGGCAAAGUAUUGCCAGCAGUUCGAAAGAGGUGAUCCUUUCCAUCUGCUCAGCGCUGGUGAGACUACAUCUGAAUUACUGUGCCCAGACCUGGGCUCCUCAGUGCAAGAGAGAUGUGGACAUACUGAAGACAGUCCAGAGAAGAGCUGCAACAGUGAUGAAGAGAUUGGAGCAUCUCUCUUGUAAGGAUAGGCUGAGACCUCAGACUGUUCAGCCCAGAGAGGACGCUUGGGUGGAUCUCACCAAUGUUUGUAAAUUUCUGAAGGAAGGGUGCAGAGAGAACAGACAGCCUCUUUUCAGUGGUGCCUGGUGCCAGGACAAGAGACAGUGGGCACAAACUGAAAUAGAAUAGUUUCCUCUGAACAUCAUGAAGUGCUUCUGUUCUGUUUGUGUAAAAGAGCACUGGCAAAGGAUGCUGGUGGCUGUGGAGCCUCCUCCUUAAAGAUCUCCAAAAGCUGCCUGGACAUGGUCCUGGGUCUCCUGCUCUGGGUGUCCCUGCUGGAGCAGGGCUUGGGCCAGAGGACCUCUAGACAUCCCUUUCAACCACUCUGAUUUUUCACAUGUUGAUACUUUAGCCCUGUAGAACCAAAUAAGAUGGAACCAACUCUGGUUCUCUUUCAGCUGAGAGAUACUGCAAAUAUCUGAGUUAUGAGUAUGUAGCAUAUGAGCAGCCUGGUAGUGCCUACUAUCCUACUACCCCAUGAGGCAAAGUAUUUGAUCUUAUCCCUAUGGUCUCCAUUUACAACUGAACAGACUGUAAUCCUGAAUGUCAUUCUUGCUUUGCACAAAGACUCAAAGGUUUAUUUUGCCCAAGUAAUAGUGUCCAAUAAAGAUUGUGUCUAUAUUUGUCUCA
Phasianus colchicus (ring-necked pheasant) is the source of this 2413-nucleotide long non-coding RNA. The record is from Ensembl. NCBI's taxonomy places the organism in Eukaryota, Metazoa, Chordata, Aves, Galliformes, Phasianidae.